Homo sapiens (human) is the source of this 472-nucleotide long non-coding RNA. Ensembl annotates it as MAGI2 antisense RNA 1. Its record names the gene MAGI2-AS1. The record is from Ensembl. Lineage: Eukaryota; Metazoa; Chordata; Mammalia; Primates; Hominidae.
GGGAAGUGACAGCAGCAGACACAUCAUGCUGGCAGGGCACAUUUACUGUCAUAUUGGAACGGAGAGUUGAUGUCAUAUUACAAGCUGAGUAAACCUAGCAGCUCCUUCUCUGAUAUGGUUAAUCAAAAAGGAAUCAAGCCCCCAACUGCAGGGCUUCUGAAUUAAUGAUGAAUUGAAGGAGAAAAGAAGCAACAGCAACAGCAUAUUUGUAAAGCCAAGGCUUCAAAGUAACUCAGGACAGCUCAUUUAGAUAAGUCAUGAACCUAAAUGGCUAAAUUAAAGCAAGACUGUGAUUACCAACACAGCUGGGAUUAGGCAAGCUGUGGCACAAGAAUUAAGCCACAUGAAGGGGAAGAGCCACAGGUCAGAAGGUCCCCAGAAAAUGUCUAACAAGAGAAGCAAGUUAACCGGAAAUCAGCCAUGUGCCUUAACCAGAAGUCAGCUGUGACUUUUAGGCCUCUUCUGGAAGUGG